RNAcentral lists this microRNA precursor (63 nucleotides) under Danio rerio (zebrafish). RNAcentral describes it as "Dre-Mir-92-P1d_pre stem-loop". Lineage: Eukaryota; Metazoa; Chordata; Actinopteri; Cypriniformes; Danionidae. RNAcentral also lists the same sequence under 1 other name. The record is from RNAcentral.
AGGUGUGGGAUGUUGUGCAGUGUUGUUCAAUCUCCCGCCAAUAUUGCACUCGUCCCGGCCUCC